UACGGAAGGUCCGGGCGUUAUCCGGAUUUAUUGGGUUUAAAGGGAGCGCAGGCCGCCCGAUAAGCGUGUUGUGAAAUGUACCGGCUCAACCGGUGAGUUGCAGCGCGAACUGUCAGGCUUGAGUGCACGGUAAGCAGGCGGAAUUCAUGGUGUAGCGGUGAAAUGCUUAGAUAUCAUGAGGAACUCCGAUUGCGAAGGCAGCUUGCUGCAGUGCGACUGACGCUUAGGCUCGAAGGUGCGGGUAUCAAACAGG
This 253-nucleotide ribosomal RNA is filed under the name uncultured bacterium. Its description in RNAcentral is "partial 16S ribosomal RNA". It matches the Rfam family "Bacterial small subunit ribosomal RNA", at positions 524 to 776 of the family's 1533-position model. The record is from RNAcentral.